CCUACGGGAGGCAGCAGUGGGGAAUAUUGGACAAUGGGGGGAACCCUGAUCCAGCCAUGCCGCGUGUGUGAAGAAGGCCCUCGGGUUGUAAAGCACUUUCAGUGAGGAAGAACGCCUGGUGGUUAAUACCCAUCAGGAAAGACAUCACUCACAGAAGAAGCACCGGCUAACUCCGUGCCAGCAGCCGCGGUAAUACGGAGGGUGCGAGCGUUAAUCGGAAUUACUGGGCGUAAAGCGCGCGUAGGUGGCUUGAUAAGCCGGUUGUGAAAGCCCCGGCCUCAACCUGGGAACGGCAUCCGGAACUGUCAAGCUAGAGUGCAGGAGAGGAAGGUAGAACCCCCGGUGUAGCGGUGAAAUGCGUAGAGAUCGGGAGGAAUACCAGUGGCGAAGGCGGCCUUCUGGACUGACACUGACACUGAGGUGCGAAAGCGUGGGUAGCAAACAGGAUUAGAUACCCCUGUAGUC
Molecule: ribosomal RNA, 465 nt
Filed under: Vreelandella stevensii
Lineage: Bacteria; Pseudomonadati; Pseudomonadota; Gammaproteobacteria; Oceanospirillales; Halomonadaceae
Description: partial 16S ribosomal RNA
Rfam family: Bacterial small subunit ribosomal RNA
Source: RNAcentral